Molecule: ribosomal RNA, 589 nt
Filed under: uncultured bacterium
Lineage: Bacteria
Description: bacterial SSU rRNA
Rfam family: Bacterial small subunit ribosomal RNA
Source: RNAcentral
AGGGGCAGCAGGAUCUAGCAAUAGAUUGCUGGCGACCGGCGCACGGGUGAGUAACACGUAUCCAACCUGCCGAUAACUCGGGGAUAGCCUUUCGAAAGAAAGAUUAAUACCCGAUGGCAUAAUAGAACCGCAUGGUUUUUUUAUUAAAGAAUUUCGGUUAUCGAUGGGGAUGCGUUCCAUUAGGCAGUUGGUGAGGUAACGGCUCACCAAACCUUCGAUGGAUAGGGGUUCUGAGAGGAAGGUCCCCCACAUUGGAACUGAGACACGGUCCAAACUCCUACGGGAGGCAGCAGUGAGGAAUAUUGGUCAAUGGACGAGAGUCUGAACCAGCCAAGUAGCGUGAAGGAUGACUGCCCUAUGGGUUGUAAACUUCUUUUAUAUGGGAAUAAAGUUUUCCACGUGUGGAAUUUUGUAUGUACCAUAUGAAUAAGGAUCGGCUAACUCCGUGCCAGCAGCCGCGGUAAUACGGAGGAUCCGAGCGUUAUCCGGAUUUAUUGGGUUUAAAGGGAGCGUAGGUGGACAGUUAAGUCAGUUGUGAAAGUUUGCGGCUCAACCGUAAAAUUGCAGUUGAUACUGGCUGUCUUGAGUA